UGGCGGGUCUCCCCGCAUGGCAACUUGGAACAACGGGUCAGGGGCGGAAGCCAGCAGCCCAUUCCGACGCGCCAGUGCCGGGGGUCGGGCUCGCCGCCCC
Molecule: signal recognition particle RNA, 100 nt
Filed under: Neisseria bacilliformis ATCC BAA-1200
Lineage: Bacteria; Pseudomonadati; Pseudomonadota; Betaproteobacteria; Neisseriales; Neisseriaceae
Description: Bacterial signal recognition particle RNA
Rfam family: Bacterial small signal recognition particle RNA
About the family: The signal recognition particle (SRP) is a universally conserved ribonucleoprotein involved in the co-translational targeting of proteins to membranes. Archaeal SRP consists of a 7S RNA and homologues of the eukaryotic SRP19 and SRP54 proteins.
Source: RNAcentral